GACGAACGCUGGCGGCGUGCUUAACACAUGCAAGUCGAACGGAAAGGCCCUGCUUUUUUGGGGUGCUCGAGUGGCGAACGGGUGAGUAACACGUGAGUAACCUGCCCUUGACUUUGGGAUAACUUCAGGAAACUGGGGCUAAUACCGGAUAGGAGCUCCUGCUGCAUGGUGGGGGUUGGAAGGUUUCGGCGGAUGGGGAUGGACUCGCGGCUCAUCAGCUUGGUGGUGGGGUAGUGGCUUACCAAGGCUUUGACGGGUAGCCGGCCUGAGAGGGUGACCGGCCUCAUUGGGAUUGAGAUACUGCCCAGACUCCUACGGGAGGCAGCAGUGGGGAAUAUUGCGCAAUGGGCGGAAGCCUGAUGCCGCAACGCCGUGUGCGGGAUAACGGCCGUCGGGUUGUAAACCGCUUUCGCCAGUGACGAAGCGUGAGUGACGGUAAUGGGUAAAGAAGCACCGGCUAAGUACGUG
RNAcentral lists this ribosomal RNA (468 nucleotides) under uncultured bacterium. RNAcentral describes it as "partial 16S ribosomal RNA". It matches the Rfam family "Bacterial small subunit ribosomal RNA", at positions 28 to 507 of the family's 1533-position model. The record is from RNAcentral.